This 159-nucleotide ribosomal RNA is filed under the name uncultured Pseudomonas sp. Its description in RNAcentral is "partial 16S ribosomal RNA". The record is from RNAcentral. Lineage: Bacteria; Pseudomonadati; Pseudomonadota; Gammaproteobacteria; Pseudomonadales; Pseudomonadaceae.
AUGGCGCAGCUGAUCAGCCAUGCCGCGUGUGUGAGAGGUCUUCAGUGAGUUGUAAGCACUUUAAGUUGGGAGGAGGGUACUGACACUAAUACUCUUGUGUUUUGAACUUUACUCCAGAAUUAACAACCGCUAACUUCGGGGCCACCACCCCCGUAAUAC